Molecule: ribosomal RNA, 467 nt
Filed under: uncultured bacterium
Lineage: Bacteria
Description: bacterial SSU rRNA
Rfam family: Bacterial small subunit ribosomal RNA
Source: RNAcentral
AAUGAACGCUGGCGGCGUGCGUAACACAUGCAAGUCGAACGUGAAAGUCCCCUUCGGGGGAUGAGUAAAGUGGCAAACGGGUGAGUAACACGUGGGUAACCUGCCCUCUGGUGGGGGAUAACCCUGCGAAAGCGGGGCUAAUACCGCAUAACAAGUCGCUAAAUAAUUAGUCGACUUCAAAGCCUUCGGGCGCUAGAGGAGGGGCCCGCGUCCCAUUAGCUAGUUGGUAGGGUAACGGCCUACCAAGGCUGCGAUGGGUAGCCGGCCUGAGAGGGUGUCCGGCCACACUGGAACUGAGACACGGUCCAGACCUCCUACGGGAGGCAGCAGUGGGGAAUUUUGCGCAAUGGGCGAAAGCCUGACGCAGCGACGCCGCGUGGGUGAUGAAGUUCUUCGGAACGUAAAGCCCUGUCAGGAGGGACGAAGCUCUGACGGUACCUCCAAAGGAAGCCCCGGCUAACUCCGUG